Molecule: ribosomal RNA, 253 nt
Filed under: uncultured bacterium
Lineage: Bacteria
Description: partial 16S ribosomal RNA
Rfam family: Bacterial small subunit ribosomal RNA
Source: RNAcentral
UACGGAGGGUGCGAGCGUUGUUCGGAAUCACUGGGCGUAAAGCGCGUGUAGGCGGCCUCCUCAGUCUGAUGUGAAAGCCCGGGGCUCACCCCCGGAAGUGCAUUGGAUACUGGGAGGCUGGAGUACCGGAGAGGAGGGUGGAAUUCCUGGUGUAGCGGUGAAAUGCGUAGAUAUCAGGAGGAACACCGGUGGCGAAGGCGGCCCUCUGGACGGAUACUGACGCUGAGACGCGACAGCGUGGGGAGCAAACAGG